GGAAGUAAAAGUCGUAACAAGGUUUCCGUAGGUGAACCUGCGGAAGGAUCAUUACCGAGUGUAGGGUUCCUAGCGAGCCCAACCUCCCACCCGUGUUUACUGUACCUUAGUUGCUUCGGCGGGCCCGCCAUUCAUGGCCGCCGGGGGCUCUCAGCCCCGGGCCCGCGCCCGCCGGAGACACCACGAACUCUGUCUGAUCUAGUGAAGUCUGAGUUGAUUGUAUCGCAAUCAGUUAAAACUUUCAACAAUGGAUCUCUUGGUUCCGGCAUCGAUGAAGAACGCAGCGAAAUGCGAUAACUAGUGUGAAUUGCAGAAUUCCGUGAAUCAUCGAGUCUUUGAACGCACAUUGCGCCCCCUGGUAUUCCGGGGGGCAUGCCUGUCCGAGCGUCAUUGCUGCCCAUCAAGCACGGCUUGUGUGUUGGGUCGUCGUCCCCUCUCCGGGGGGGACGGGCCCCAAAGGCAGGGCGGCACCGCGCCCGAUCCUCGAGCGUAUGGGGCCUUGUCACCCGCUCUGUAGGCCCGGCCGGCGCUUGCCGAACGCAAAUCAAUCUUUUUCCAGGUUGACCUCGGAUCAGGUAGGGAUACCCGCUGAACUUAAGCAUAUCAAUAAGCGGAGGA
This 618-nucleotide ribosomal RNA is filed under the name Aspergillus oryzae. Its description in RNAcentral is "partial 18S ribosomal RNA". The stretch from base 237 to 390 matches the Rfam family "5.8S ribosomal RNA". Lineage: Eukaryota; Fungi; Ascomycota; Eurotiomycetes; Eurotiales; Aspergillaceae. The record is from RNAcentral.